GCCAGGCUGUAGCUCGAGAUUAGAGCACGUGGCUGCGAACCACGGUGUCGGGGGUUCGAAUCUCUCCUCGCCUGGCA
Datura stramonium (jimsonweed) is the source of this 77-nucleotide non-coding RNA. The record is from the annotation of a GenBank genome assembly. Lineage: Eukaryota; Viridiplantae; Streptophyta; Magnoliopsida; Solanales; Solanaceae.